This 1442-nucleotide ribosomal RNA is filed under the name uncultured bacterium. Its description in RNAcentral is "16S ribosomal RNA". It matches the Rfam family "Bacterial small subunit ribosomal RNA". The record is from RNAcentral.
GAUGAACGCUGGCGGCGUGCUUAACACAUGCAAGUCGAACGGUGAAGGAGAGCUUGCUCUCCGGAUCAGUGGCGAACGGGUGAGUAACACGUGAGCAACCUGCCCCGGACUCCGGGAUAACAGUUGGAAACAGCUGCUAAUACCGGAUACGAGCUGCGAAGGCAUCUUCAGCAGCUGGAAAGAACUUCGGUCCGGGAUGGGCUCGCGGCCUAUCAGCUUGUUGGUGAGGUAACGGCUCACCAAGGCGUCGACGGGUAGCCGGCCUGAGAGGGUGACCGGCCACACUGGGACUGAGACACGGCCCAGACUCCUACGGGAGGCAGCAGUGGGGAAUAUUGCACAAUGGGCGCAAGCCUGAUGCAGCAACGCCGCGUGAGGGACGACGGCCUUCGGGUUGUAAACCUCUUUUAGCAGGGAAGAAGCGAAAGUGACGGUACCUGCAGAAAAAGCGCCGGCUAACUACGUGCCAGCAGCCGCGGUAAUACGUAGGGCGCAAGCGUUAUCCGGAAUUAUUGGGCGUAAAGAGCUCGUAGGCGGUCUGUCGCGUCUGCUGUGAAAACCCGAGGCUCAACCUCGGGCCUGCAGUGGGUACGGGCAGACUAGAGUGCGGUAGGGGAGAUUGGAAUUCCUGGUGUAGCGGUGGAAUGCGCAGAUAUCAGGAGGAACACCGAUGGCGAAGGCAGAUCUCUGGGCCGUAACUGACGCUGAAGAGCGAAAGGGUGGGGAGCAAACAGGCUUAGAUACCCCUGGUAGUCCACCCCGUAAACGUUGGGAACUAGUUGUGGGGACCAUUCCACGGUCUCCGUGACGUAGCUAACGCAUUAAGUUCCCCGCCUGGGGAGUACGGCCGCAAGGCUAAAACUCAAAGGAAUUGACGGGGACCCGCACAAGCGGCGGAGCAUGCGGAUUAAUUCGAUGCAACGCGAAGAACCUUACCAAGGCUUGACAUACACGAGAACGCCCUAGAAAUAGGGAACUCUUUGGACACUCGUGAACAGGUGGUGCAUGGUUGUCGUCAGCUCGUGUCGUGAGAUGUUGGGUUAAGUCCCGCAACGAGCGCAACCCUCGUUCUAUGUUGCCAGCACGUAAUGGUGGGAACUCAUGGGAUACUGCCGGGGUCAACUCGGAGGAAGGUGGGGAUGACGUCAAAUCAUCAUGCCCCUUAUGUCUUGGGCUUCACGCAUGCUACAAUGGCCGGUACAAAGGGCUGCAAUACCGUAAGGUGGAGCGAAUCCCAGAAAGCCGGUCCCAGUUCGGAUUGAGGUCUGCAACUCGACCUCAUGAAGUCGGAGUCGCUAGUAAUCGCAGAUCAGCAACGCUGCGGUGAAUACGUUCCCGGGUCUUGUACACACCGCCCGUCAAGUCAUGAAAGUCGGUAACACCUGAAGCCGGUGGCCCAACCCUUGUGGAGGGAGCCGUCGAAGGUGGGAUCGGUAAUUAGG